This 89-nucleotide transfer RNA is filed under the name Enterococcus faecium. RNAcentral describes it as "tRNA-Ser". It matches the Rfam family "tRNA". From Rfam's summary of the family: Transfer RNA (tRNA) molecules are approximately 80 nucleotides in length. Lineage: Bacteria; Bacillati; Bacillota; Bacilli; Lactobacillales; Enterococcaceae. The record is from RNAcentral.
GGAGAGUUGUCCGAGAGGCUGAAGGAGCAUGAUUGGAAAUCAUGUAGAUGGUGCAAACUGUCUCAAGGGUUCGAAUCCCUUACUCUCCG